Molecule: unclassified non-coding RNA, 285 nt
Filed under: Chytridiomycota sp.
Lineage: Eukaryota; Fungi; Chytridiomycota
Description: partial contains small subunit ribosomal RNA, internal transcribed spacer 1, and 5.8S ribosomal RNA
Rfam family: Eukaryotic small subunit ribosomal RNA (bases 1-47)
Source: RNAcentral
AAAGUCGUAACAAGGUAACCGUAGGUGAACCUGCGGUUGGAUCAUUAUUUAUGAGAGGGGGUUCUCCACGAAUCCCUGGCAUCUUUUUGCCGAAACCCCGUGUGCACUUACCUUUUUGUCAGGGGCCUUUUUUUUUUAAAGAGGGACUGCUGUUCCAGUGCUCCCUCCCAAAAUGCGGUCUCUGUGCAAAUGAAACGCUAUGUUGAACUGGCUGAUGCAAGUACGUCUCGCCGUCGGCGGGCACGCAACCUACAACAACUUUUGGCAACGGAUCUCUUGGCUCUC